CCGGAAGAAUAAGCACCGGCUAACUACGUGCCAGCAGCCGCGGUAAUACGUAGGGUGCAAGCGUUAAUCGGAAUUACUGGGCGUAAAGCGUGCGCAGGCGGUCCGCUAAGACAGAUGUGAAAUCCCCGGGCUUAACCUGGGAACUGCAUUUGUGACUGGCGGGCUAGAGUAUGGCAGAGGGGGGUAGAAUUCCACGUGUAGCAGUGAAAUGCGUAGAGAUGUGGAGGAAUACCGAUGGCGAAGGCAGCCCCCUGGGCCAAUACUGACGCUCAUGCACGAAAGCGUGGGGAGCAAACAGGAUUAGAUACCCUGGUAGUCCACGCCCUAAACGAUGUCAACUAGUUGUUGGGGAUUCAUUUCCUUAGUAACGUAGCUAACGCGUGAAGUUGACCGCCUGGGGAGUACGGUCGCAAGAUUAAAACUCAAAGGAAUUGACGGGGACCCGCACAAGCGGUGGAUGAUGUGGAUUAAUUCGAUGCAACGCGAAAAACCUUACCUACCCUUGACAUGUAUG
Molecule: ribosomal RNA, 514 nt
Filed under: Paraburkholderia sp.
Lineage: Bacteria; Pseudomonadati; Pseudomonadota; Betaproteobacteria; Burkholderiales; Burkholderiaceae
Description: bacterial SSU rRNA
Rfam family: Bacterial small subunit ribosomal RNA
Source: RNAcentral